UGGAUCACCUCCUAACAGGGAGACAACACAAUGAUUUUGAUGCCUGAGUGCUUUUAUUCUUAGGCCGAAAUCCUGUCACCUUAGGUCGAUCGGUACCUCAGCUUUGAAGUUAAGGAUCAGCAGAAAUGUUGAUUGCUUGAUGGAGAUUUUCAGUUUCUAAACUUUGUCUAGGUCACACCCCAAAAGGGAUGAGACUCCUGGGCCAUUAGCUCAGGUGGUUAGAGCGCACCCCUGAUAAGGGUGAGGUCCCUGGUUCAAGUCCAGGAUGGCCCAUUCGGUGUUGGGGGUUUAGCUCAGUUGGUAGAGCGCCUGCUUUGCAAGCAGGAUGUCAGGAGUUCGAGUCUCCUAACCUCCACUGACCGAACUUGAUUCCCAUCUCCAGUUCUUUUGGAGUUGAGCUCGAUUGGAGUGUGAUUUAGAUGUGUCCGCUGGAUGAACCCAGCUUCCUGUCAUUCCAAGUUUUAGGUUGAAACCUUGAAUUUGGUUGAUAAGAUGCUGGGCUCGAAUCAAGUAAUCAAGCAAUUGAUGAUUUGAUUUGAAGUUCUAGCAGAACCUUGACAACUGCAUAGGUGAGUCUGGAAAAAACAAAGCAUCUUACAGAUGCAUUGUUUUGAAUCUGAUCUUCUGAAAGGGAGAUUGGAUCUAGAACAAUGAAAAUUCUUUUGAGCAAGAGCCGAGACUCUUGAACGUUCUUUGAUUCGUGUCGAGCGAAUCAGAGUUUGAUCUUGUUUUUAGCAAUAAAAACUUGAGAAUCUGCUUUCAACGGCGGUAAGCGUUCAGGAGAUUAAUUGGUCAAGCUACAAAGGGCUCACGGCGGAUACCUUGGCACACAGAGGCGAUGAAGG
RNAcentral lists this transfer RNA (845 nucleotides) under uncultured Synechococcus sp. RNAcentral describes it as "partial contains 16S ribosomal RNA, 16S-23S ribosomal RNA intergenic spacer, and 23S ribosomal RNA". The stretch from base 283 to 355 matches the Rfam family "tRNA". The record is from RNAcentral. Lineage: Bacteria; Bacillati; Cyanobacteriota; Cyanophyceae; Synechococcales; Synechococcaceae.